Molecule: ribosomal RNA, 433 nt
Filed under: uncultured bacterium
Lineage: Bacteria
Description: partial 16S ribosomal RNA
Rfam family: Bacterial small subunit ribosomal RNA
Source: RNAcentral
AACGAACGCUGGCGGCAUGCCUAACACAUGCAAGUCGAACGAGACCUUCGGGUCUAGUGGCGCACGGGUGCGUAACGCGUGGGAACCUGCCCUUAGGUUCGGAAUAACUCACCGAAAGGGGUGCUAAUACCGGAUAAUGUCUUCGGACCAAAGAUUUAUCGCCUUUGGAUGGGCCCGCGUUGGAUUAGCUAGUUGGUAGGGUAAAAGCCUACCAAGGCGACGAUCCAUAGCUGGUCUGGGAGGAUGAUCAGCCACACUGGGACUGAGACACGGCCCAGACUCCUACGGGAGGCAGCAGUGGGGAAUAUUGGACGAUGGGCGAAAGCCUGAUCCAGCCAUGCCGCGUGAGUGAGGAAGGCCUUAGGGUUGUAAAGCUCUUUUACCCGGGAUGAUAAUGACAGUACCGGGAGAAUAAGCUCCGGCUAACUCCGUG